Molecule: ribosomal RNA, 741 nt
Filed under: uncultured bacterium
Lineage: Bacteria
Description: bacterial SSU rRNA
Rfam family: Bacterial small subunit ribosomal RNA
Source: RNAcentral
AGAGUUUGAUCAUGGCUCAGGAUGAACGCUGGCGGUAUGCAUAACACAUGCAAGUCGAACGGUCUGGAAACAGACAGUGGCGGACGGGUGAGUAACGCGUGAGAAUCUAACUUGUGGUUCGGGAUAACCACUGGAAACGGUGGCUAAGACCGGAUGUGCCGGGAGGUGAAAGGGAGACCGCCACAAGAGGAGCUCGCGUCCGAUUAGCUAGAUGGUGGGGUAAAGGCCUACCAUGGCGACGAUCGGUAGCUGGUCUGAGAGGACGAACAGCCACACUGGGACUGAAACACGGCCCAGACUCCUACGGGAGGCAGCAGUGKGGAAUUUUCCGCAAUGGGCGAAAGCCUGACGGAGCAAUACCGCGUGAAGGAGGAAGGCCCUUGGGUUGUAAACCUCUUUUYUCAGGGAAGAGGAUGGACGGUACCUGAGGAAGAAGCCCCGGCUUACUACGUGCCAGCAGCCGCGGUAAUACGUAGGGGGCGAGCGUUGUCCGGAUUUACUGGGCGUAAAGCGCGUGCAGGCGGUUCAACAAGUUCAGAGUGACAGUCACCAGCCUAACUGGUGAAGGGUUCUGAAAACGAUUGGACUGGAGAGCGAGAGAGGGACCUGGAACUCCGGGUGGAGCGGUGAAAUGCGUAGAGAUCCGGAAGAACACCACUGGCGAAGGCGGGUAGCUGGGCUGACACUGACGCUGAGGCGCGAAAGCUAGGGGAGCGAACGGGAUUAGAUACCCUGGUAGUC